This 500-nucleotide ribosomal RNA is filed under the name uncultured bacterium. RNAcentral describes it as "partial 16S ribosomal RNA". It matches the Rfam family "Bacterial small subunit ribosomal RNA", at positions 30 to 523 of the family's 1533-position model. The record is from RNAcentral.
AUUGAACGCUGGCGGCAUGCCUUACACAUGCAAGUCGAACGGAUUCAAGAGGCUUGCUUCUUGAGUUAGUGGCGAACGGGUGAGUAAAGCAUCGGAACGUACCCAGUUGUGGGGGAUAACGUAGCGAAAGUUACACUAAUACCGCAUACGCACUGAGGUGGAAAGCGGGGGACCGAAAGGCCUCGCGCAAUUGGAGCGGCCGAUGUCGGAUUAGCUAGUUGGUGAGGUAAAGGCUCACCAAGGCGACGAUCCGUAGCUGGUCUGAGAGGACGACCAGCCACACUGAAACUGAGACAAGGUCCAGACUCCUACGGGAGGCAGAGGUGGGGAAUUUUGGACAAUGGGCGAAAGCCUGAUCCAGCCAUGCCGCGUGAGUGAAGAAGGCCUUCGGGUUGUAAAGCUCUUUCAGACAGAAAGAAAUCUUUCGGGUGAAUAUCCCGGAAGGAUGACGGUACCGUAAGAAGAAGCACCGGCUAACUACGUGCCAGCAGCCGCCGUAA